Molecule: ribosomal RNA, 292 nt
Filed under: uncultured bacterium
Lineage: Bacteria
Description: partial 16S ribosomal RNA
Rfam family: Bacterial small subunit ribosomal RNA
Source: RNAcentral
GUGUCAGCCGCCGCGGUAAUACAGAGGGUGCAAGCGUUAUUCGGAAUUAUUGGGCGUAAAGAGCGCGUAGGUGGUUCGAUAAGUUUGAUGUGAAAUCCCUGGACUUAAUCCAGGAAGCGCAUUGAAUACUGUCGAACUAGAGUGCAGGAGAGGCGAGCGGAAUUCCUGGUGUAGAGGUGAAAUUCGUAGAUAUCAGGAGGAACAACAGUGGCGAAGGCGGCUCACUGGACUGCAACUGACACUGAGGCGCGAAAGCGUGGGGAGCAAACAGGAUUAGAUACCCGUGUAGUCC